Molecule: ribosomal RNA, 92 nt
Filed under: Lubomirskia baikalensis
Lineage: Eukaryota; Metazoa; Porifera; Demospongiae; Spongillida; Lubomirskiidae
Description: partial 28S ribosomal RNA
Rfam family: Eukaryotic large subunit ribosomal RNA (bases 19-92)
Source: RNAcentral
UUUUUGAACUUCCAUCCUGGACCUCAGCUCAGGCGUGACUACCCGCUGAAUUUAAGCAUAUCAAUCAAGCGGAGGAAAAGAAACUAACCAGG